Molecule: non-coding RNA, 2465 nt
Organism: Callithrix jacchus (white-tufted-ear marmoset)
Lineage: Eukaryota; Metazoa; Chordata; Mammalia; Primates; Cebidae
Source: RefSeq, a predicted model, not a curated record
GGGUCCUGCUGGUAAGGGCAGCAGGCAGGGCGGCUGGGCCUGCAGAUCGGGGUGAUGGGCUGUGACUUGGCCCUCUGGGUGAGAGAUGGAGAGACCUGGAAAAAAGGCAUGGGGGAGGGGAGCCCUGCAGAUGUGGGGACACCCGAACCCUCCUGUGGGGUGUAACCCGAGCCCUUGGACACAGGGUGCAUAGGAUGUCUGCAGUCCUCACCCCUGGCCUGUCCCUCCCCCUCCCAGCGCCCCUUCCUGGCAUCUUUACAUAAAGCCUGGCAGGCUGGGCCUCAGGUCAGGCCCAUGGUCAUGGCCUUCACAGACCUGCUGGACGCCCUGGGUGGCGUGGGCCGCUUCCAGCUCCUCCACACGGCCCUGCUGCUGCUGCCCUGCAGCCUCCUGGCCUGCCACAACUUCCUGCAGAACUUCACAGCCGCUGUGCCCCCCCACCACUGCCGGGGCCCCACCAACCACACUGAGGCCACCAACGACUCGGAGAACUGGCUGAGGGCCACAGUACCCCUGGACCAGCUUGGGGCCCCGGAGCCAUGCCGGCGCUUCACGAAACCUCAGUGGGCCCUGCCGAACCCCAACUCCUCUCUCCCGGGAGCAGCCACGGAGGGCUGCAAGGACGGCUGGGUCUAUAACCGCAGUGUUUUCCCGUCCACCAUCGUGAUGGAGGUCAGAGGGGGCUGGGUGCAUGGGGGUGCUGCUGCUGAGGCCCAGUCUGAAGCUCCCAUGUCUUCCCUGCAGUGGGACCUGGUGUGUGAGGCCCGCACUCUCCGAGACCUGGCUCAGUCCGUCUACAUGGCCGGGGUGCUGGUGGGGGCUGCUGUGUUUGGCAGCCUGGCAGACAGGCUGGGCCGCAAGGUGCCCCUGGUCUGGUCCUACCUGCAGCUGGCAGCUUCGGGGGCUGCCACAGCGUAUUUCAGCUCCUUCAGUGCCUACUGCGUCUUCCGGUUCCUGAUGGGCAUGACCUUUUCCGGCAUCAUCCUCAACUCCCUCUCCCUGGUUGUGGAGUGGAUGCCCACCCGGGGCCGGACUGCGGCGGGCAUCUUGCUGGGGUACUCCUUCACCCUGGGCCAGCUCCUCCUGGCUGGGGUCGCGUACCUGAUUCGCCCUUGGCGGUGCCUGCAGUUUGCUGUCUCGGCUCCUUUCCUGAUCUUUUUCCUCUAUUCUUGGUGGCUUCCAGAGUCAUCCCGCUGGCUCCUCCUGCAUGGCAAGUCCCAGUUAGCUGUCCAGAACCUGCGGAAGGUGGCUGCAAUGAACGGGAGGAAGGAAGAAGGGGAAAGGCUGACCAAGGAGGUGGUGAGCUCCUACAUCCAGAGAGAGUUUGCGAGUGUCCACAUCUCCAACUCAAUCUUGGAUCUCUUCCGAACUCCGGCCAUCCGCAAGGUCACGUGCUGUCUCAUGGUGGUCUGGUUCUCCAACUCUGUGGCUUACUACGGCCUGGCCAUGGACCUGCAGAAGUUUGGGCUCAGCCUCUACCUGGUGCAGGCCCUGUUUGCAAUCAUCGACAUCCCGGCCAUGCUGGUGGCCACCGCCACCAUGAUUUACGUGGGCCGCCGGGCCACAGUAGCCUCCUUCCUCAUCCUAGCCGGGCUCAUGGUGAUCGCCAACAUGUUUGUGCCAGAAGAGUCUCACUCUGCGGCCCAGGCUGGAGUGCAGUGGCACAGUCGUGGCUCACAACCUCCUAAGGUCAAGCAAUCCUCCCACCUUAGCCUCCGGCUGGGACUACAGGUCUGCAGAACCUGCGCACGGCUCAGGCAGCGCUGGGCAAAGGCUGCCUGGCCAGCUCCUUCAUCUGCGUGUACCUGUUUACGGGCGAGCUGUACCCCACGGAGAUCAGGCAGAUGGGGAUGGGCUUCGCCUCAGCCCAUGCCCGCCUCGGGGGCCUGGCAGCGCCCCUGGUUACCACACUUGGGGAGUUCAGUGCCGUCCUGCCACCCGUGUGCUUCGGGGCCACCGCAAUCCUGGCUGGGCUGGCUGUCUGCUUCCUGACCGAGACCCGUAACGAGCCCCUGAUGGAGACCAUCACGGCGAUGGAGAGGAGGGUCAAAGAAGGCUCUUCCAAGAAACAUGCAGAAGAGAAGAGUGAAGAAAUAUCUCUUCAGCAGCUGAGAGCAUCUCCCCUCAAAGAAACCAUCUAAGCUGCCUGGAACCUGGGGCUUGCUCGCAGCACCUGAGCCAUGUGCAGACAGGAGCCCCUGGGGACACGGGUGCUGAGCUGGAGGAAAGGUUGCUGAAAGCAUCCUGGCUCCCAUAGAGAGCCACACACAAGCCAGGGCUGCUUGGAGUGAAACCCCACCAGCAACAGCCAAUCUGCAUUACAAACGCAUAGAAAACCAGGAGAAGCCAGUCCCAGGGACCAAAGGAGAGACUGUUUUCCUUUCCCAUCCCCAUUCUGCCCCUUAAAAUGUCUCUGUAUUAGUCCAUUCUGGCACUGCUAUAAAGAACUACCUGAGACUGGGUAA